RNAcentral lists this transfer RNA (61 nucleotides) under Pseudoniphargus daviui. Its description in RNAcentral is "tRNA-Met". Lineage: Eukaryota; Metazoa; Arthropoda; Malacostraca; Amphipoda; Allocrangonyctidae. The record is from RNAcentral.
UAAAAGGUAAGCUAACUAAGCUAACGGGCUCAUAACCCGUCUAUGAAUUUUUCCCUUUUAU